UAGAAGAAAAAAAAACUGAAUCCAGAAAUGUACAAUGACUGCCAACAGCAGCCUCCUAGGUAGUGUGUGAUACCUGUUGUCUGCGUGGGUCGUCCUAAGGGACCUUGAAGAUAGUA
This 116-nucleotide small nucleolar RNA is filed under the name Microtus ochrogaster (prairie vole). Its description in RNAcentral is "Small nucleolar RNA SNORA70 (ENSMOCG00000002578.1)". It matches the Rfam family "Small nucleolar RNA SNORA70". Rfam says of the family: snoRNA U70 seems to be exclusive to mammals and is a member of the H/ACA class of snoRNA which contain H (ANANNA) and ACA box motifs. The record is from Rfam by way of RNAcentral. Lineage: Eukaryota; Metazoa; Chordata; Mammalia; Rodentia; Cricetidae.